GUACCCUUCUCUACGGAAUAGCCUCGGGAAACUGAGAGUAAUACCGUAUACGCCCUUCGGGGGAAAGAUUUAUCGGAGAAGGAUCAGCCCGCGUAAGAUUAGAUAGUUGGUGGGGUAAUGGCCUACCAAGUCUACGAUCUUUAGCUGGUUUUAGAGGAUGAUCAGCAACACUGGGACUGAGACACGGCCCAGACUCCUACGGGAGGCAGCAGUGGGGAAUCUUGGACAAUGGGCGCAAGCCUGAUCCAGCCAUGCCGCGUGUGUGAUGAAGGCCUUAGGGUCGUAAAGCACUUUCGCUAGAGAUGAUAAUGACAGUAUCUAGUAAAGAAGUCCCGGCUAACUCCGUGCCAGCAGCCGCGGUAAUACGGAGGGGACUAGCGUUGUUCGGAAUUACUGGGCGUAAAGCGUACGUAGGCGGAUCAGAAAGUAUGGGGUGAAAUCCCAGGGCUCAACCCUGGAACUGCCUCAUAAACUCCUGGUCUAGAGUUCGGGAGAGGUGAGUGGAAUUCCGAGUGUAGAGGUGAAAUUCGUAGAUAUUCGGAGGAACACCAGUGGCGAAGGCGGCUCACUGGCUCGAUACUGACGCUGAGGUACGAAAGUGUGGGGAGCAAACAGGAUUAGAUACCCUGG
RNAcentral lists this ribosomal RNA (630 nucleotides) under uncultured Alphaproteobacteria bacterium. Its description in RNAcentral is "bacterial SSU rRNA". It matches the Rfam family "Bacterial small subunit ribosomal RNA", at positions 126 to 790 of the family's 1533-position model. The record is from RNAcentral. Lineage: Bacteria; Pseudomonadati; Pseudomonadota; Alphaproteobacteria.